RNAcentral lists this long non-coding RNA (270 nucleotides) under Olea europaea (common olive). Its description in RNAcentral is "long non-coding RNA (OEUR_LNC014189)". Lineage: Eukaryota; Viridiplantae; Streptophyta; Magnoliopsida; Lamiales; Oleaceae. The record is from RNAcentral.
ACAAAUACUCAAUCAAAAGGAUCAAUUAAGAGCACAUAACCCUAAUUCUAGCACAAGCAAUGGUUGCCAAGCAAUGACAACCCCCAACCUAUUGUCACCUCACACGGUGACGCGCUAAUGCUGAAAAAUUAACGGGUUAAGCCAAUUUACCAGAGCGGACGUGUCUGAGUCCGUAUUAUCGAGAGAGAUGCGAAUCUACUGCUUUAGGACCGCAAUCUUGGCCUAAAGUAAUUCAGUAGAUAUAUGCAGAUUCAACCGUCGAUCCACCGG